AUUGAACGCUGGCGGCAUGCCUUACACAUGCAAGUCGAACGGCAGCGCGGGAGCAAUCCUGGCGGCGAGUGGCGAACGGGUGAGUAAUAUAUCGGAACGUGCCCAGUCGUGGGGGAUAACGCAGCGAAAGCUGUGCUAAUACCGCAUACGAUCUAUGGAUGAAAGCGGGGGAUCGCAAGACCUCGCGCUAUUGGAGCGGCCGAUAUCAGAUUAGCUAGUUGGUGGGGUAAAGGCCUACCAAGGCAACGAUCUGUAGUUGGUCUGAGAGGACGACCAGCCACACUGGGACUGAGACACGGCCCAGACUCCUACGGGAGGCAGCAGUGGGGAAUUUUGGACAAUGGGCGCAAGCCUGAUCCAGCAAUGCCGCGUGCAGGAAGAAGG
RNAcentral lists this ribosomal RNA (384 nucleotides) under uncultured bacterium. RNAcentral's name for it is "bacterial SSU rRNA". It matches the Rfam family "Bacterial small subunit ribosomal RNA", at positions 29 to 414 of the family's 1533-position model. The record is from RNAcentral.